GGAAGCUGCUUCCCUUAUUUAAGUCCCCACUGUAAGAUACAGAUGGAGUCUGGCACAGCUCCAGGUGUAAUUACAAGACUUGAUUCAGUUAGGGGCCUGAAUGGAAGAGAAGGUGAAGCUUGUCUGCGGUCUGGAGUCAAAGUAGCGAAUUCCCAGAAAGCUCUGAUUCAAUUAAGUGGGGGAGGCCUCUGCCAGUUCCUGUUCUGUUAUUGCAUUUUUAAGGCUCCUGUCCACAGCAGAAUGCCUGCUGGCAGUUACAGUUGAUAAACUAAGUAGGAGUUUCCUGCUCCAGAGGGAGUGAAGGCACUGGCAGCCACCACUGGCAGCUGGAACUCCCAAGCUACUCCACGACGCGGGAGGUUGCCUGGCAGUCAGUUUUGAUGACCAGGCCUAGGAGCCACUCUCAAAUCCAAUUCUCCCUACUUUUGAACCGAUUCAGAAGACUCGGAGACCUUGAAAAUGAAAUCAAUGAGAUGUUACUGGGAAUAUUUAUAAACCACAUCCUAAUGCUGCCACAGAUAAUGAAAGAAUACUUCGCAGAGUCAAGUCAAUCCAAGAGAGGAUGAGGAAUUUAUUUUCCAUGAUUUCCUAAAUUUACAUAACUCAAACUUCCAGCUUUUGAAUCUGAGAGGCCUUCCAUUUAGCAUCUCUCCAAUCCUCUUUUGAAGAAACCCAAACUGGACAGACAGUUACUGAAUUUUUGUAAUGUCCGAGGCUUCCAGGAGGAGUGACACAUAUCUCUGCUGGAUGAGCUCACAGUUCCAAUGAGAAGAUACAAGCUGAAAGAUUGCAGCAGAACUGGGAAGUGAAAGCACGGAGAGGCUGUGGGACAUGGAGGAGGGGCGGUAAGAUUGAGAAAGAGGUAACAGUUGGGGUGACUUUGGACCUGAGACCUGGGCAGGCAUAAGAAGUCUCACUCUCUAUUCCAUUCUUGGCAGGGGAUGUUUCUUUGUACCAGGUAGCUUUGCGCUUGUUUUGUUCCAUAAAAGUAAAUCUCUGUUCACUAAGGAAUUAUGGUAGUGAAUGGUGACUCUCCGGAAUUAUAGGGCUAAUUCCAAAAUAAUCUUAGUUUUAUUCCCCCACAUUGUAAUAUUAACACUUGGGAAUUUUGUUUAUCGCGAUGUUUAAUAAUUUGGCCAGCAGAGGGCACUGCAUACUGACAGUCUCUCCACACCAGUCGCUCAAAUCCUCAAGAGUUCCCGAAGUGUUAGGCUUAACUCAGGGGUGUUUGCAAGUGCUUUGCUCUUCUGUUUCAGACAUAAACAUAUGUCAGAAAUUAAAAGAGGGUUGUGAAGCAGGAAAUUAGAUUAACAGUAGCAUAUAAUUUCCCUCUAUUUGUUAAUAAAGAGAAAAAAUAUUGGUAUGUACACCCAUGUCUACAGGGUUUUAAAUGUAGCUGUAUUAAUUAAUGUAUUAAUAAUAUGAUAACACUACUUCUUGCAUAAAUCAACAUAACUUCUAAAUUCUCUUUGAAAAUAUUUUUGGUUUUAUAUUGUGGUUUAAUUCUCAAUCAUAAACUAAAAAGUAAAAAAACCUGAUGCCUAAUGUUAUACUUUCUUUCAAACCUUAAGAUAGAUAUUAUUGUUUGAAUAGUAUCAAAAUAUUGUGGUUCUGCACAAAUGCUUUUUAUAACUUCUUACGAUGAUAUUUUAAUUUCUAUUUCCACAUAUGGAUAUGAGUAUUCGAAAACAUUUGACGCACAAUUUUCUUCUCUUCAUCUCCCCAUUAUAAAAAUGUAAAGGUGUGUUUUAAAACCCGUUUGCUCUUGGUUAAACUUGACAAUGUGGAGACCCCUUUGUUAGCUGGUCCUAUGAGUUAAUGCACAGCCUUUGUGUUUUUCAUUUAAGGAAUAAACUAAACUGGUACCAUCCAAUGCUACUGACUUGAUUUGCCAUAGCCCAUCUCUAUGAUGUAAAUAUGGAUUCCCUGGCAUUUGCAGAGUUAAGACAGUCUCCUGGGAUCAAAGCCUGCAUCACAUAAAUACAGGAGAAAAGCUACUAAAAAUUUCUUACAGUAGGAAAACACUCAAGAAGGUUUUUAUAUUAAAAAUCCCUUAUCCCAAAAACUGUAGGCUGUGUUCUGAUGAUGUAUUACUAAUUUAUCAGAUAUAUUUAAUGACAGUUUGUAACAUGUUCCUACUAAGUGAAGGAACGGUGCUCUGAUAAGCACUGGGCAGAAUUGAAGAAGUAUGACAUUCUCUGAUCACUUAAUCCAUGCUCAAUUUGACUAGCAAUUUUAUUUAGGUUUAUUGCUUGCUAUAUAAUAUACUUAGUUGUAUAAGUAAGAUACAGAUUAAUAGUAUUUAAAUAUUACUUUGGAAGCUUUUAAGGGAAAUAAUUCUAAUUCUGAAUAAUACUAAAUAGCUCUGCAGCAUGUUGGGAUUUAAAUAUAGAUUCAGUCACUACUGUAGAUUAAGUCAUGAUUUGUCUUUUAAAAUUGGAAAGCGAGUUAACUUUUGCCCAUUGGUUCUCUUUGCAGUGAGUGACCGCCUGGGUACCUGUGGGCAUCUGCAUUCCACAUUGUGUCUGCAGUGCCCUCUUGUGGCCAUGCAUCUUUAUGCAGAUAGAGUCUUCCUCUACUACUAUCUUUUGGGGCUUCUUCCAUUUCGCUUUGCAUUGGUGAGGCUACUGGAAUAGGACUUACUUGAGCCCGGUUCAUUAUCUACAAGUAGGAUAUUGGUACCAGACAGCACUAGGAAGACUAAUACAAUCUUGGAGGAGGUACUUCAUAGCUUGAUGUUCUAAAGAUUAGCUUUAAGUCAUUACAUUUUUGGUCAUUUAUUUAAAGUGAUUAUUCCUCAUAAAAUAUGGUUAUUAUCAAAGAGCCUUUCUCCAUUUGUCCCAGAUCAACAAUGACUGGUAAGAGGUUCAGUACAGAAGAGUCAUCAUAUACAGUCCUAACCACCUCUGGCCUGAUCUAUUUUACACUGGGGCAUGACUGGCAUUGACUCCAGUCUUCCACGGCCUAAAUAAGAUUAGUACUCUGAACACAGUAAGAACUUUGUGAUUCCACCUCAGUUCCACCCAAGGCAAGGGGAAUACUUCCCCCAUUUCACAGACGUUUAUAUGGUGUCUUUUAGGGAAGAGGCAAAACACAGAUUGUUAUGGUUAAGACCUGAGUUCUGUAGUCAAACCUAGGCCAGCCCAUAGCAAACUUUGUGAAUCCAGGCAAAGAAUUCAACUUUACUGCCUUCAUUUUAUCAUCUGCAUACUGGGGAGAGUAACAGGUUGCUCUGAAGAUUAAGUGCCAACAGGCCUGUGAAACAUUGAACAGUCAUUAUUAGUUACUGGUGCUAAAAUGCAAUUGGUGCUAAAAUGGGACUUUUCUAUACAUUUUUUGAUUUUAAAUUAAUAGACUUUAGUUUUUAGAACCAUUUUAGGUUUACAGAAACAUUGAACAAAUAGUACAGAGAUUUGUCAUCUAUUCUUCCUUGUACAGUUUCUUCUAUUAACAUCUUCCACUAAUAUGAGACAUUUGUUAUAAUUCAUGAACAAAUAUUAAUACAUGGUUAUUAACUAAAGUCCAUAGUUUACUCUGGGUGUUGUAUACUCUGUGGGUUUUGAUGUGACUAAUGACAUAUAUCCACCACUGUAAUAUUAUACAGAAUAUUUUCAUUGCCCUAAAAAUCCUCUGUGUUCUGCCUGUUCAUCCCUGCCUCUCUGCUGCUCCUGGCAGCCCCUGAUCCUUUUACUCUCUGGAUAGUUUUGCCUUUUCCCGAAUAUUGUACAGUUGGAGUCAUGCAGGAUAAAGGCCUUUCUGGCUGCCUCCCUUCAUUUAGAAAUUUGCAUUUAAGUUUCCUCCAUGUCUUUUCGUGGGUUGAUAGCUAAUUUCUUGUUAUUUUUGAAUAAUAUUUCAUUGUCUGGCUGUACCACAGUCUGUCCACUCACCUUUAUUCCUAUAGUAUUUUAACUGCUUCCUUUCCUGUGGCGCCCACUACUGUGAGCCAAUGGAGGAAGAAUGCUGCAGUACAUCCAGUACUAUAGCCUUAGAAUCUGGGACAAUACUCGUUAAAUAAUAGCUCUUCAAUAAGUAUUUGUCUAAGUAAGAGAAGUUGAAAGAAAGAACUUUUGAAUUGGCCACAGUAGCAUUUAUUUUGGUAGUGGUGCUAAGGGACAGGGCUUCCAAAGGGCUGUCAAAAGUGAAUCCAGUUAUUAGUCUGCUUUCUUCUUGGAACCUGAAGGGCUUGGUGAUCCUGGGAGCACACUCCCUGCUGCGGAGCCUACGGUGCAGCAACACACUUCCCAGGGAGCUGCACUGGGCCACGGACACGCGUCAGUGGGCAUGCCAGCUGGACGUGUAUUUCCAGCCGUUCUAGCAACUUCUGCUGUCAGGAGGGACCCCUGUGUUCCUCGGAAGAUGGCUCAGUGGUGACUGUCAUAUCUCUGCCUAGAGAAGAGUUAGUGUGGUCGGGGGAUGUGGAGAAGAACUGGCAUAGGAUGUGAUCAGUCAUAGUUCCCUGGGGAUCCUUAUAAAUCCAUCUGUAAACCAUCGAGUGUUUAUGGAUAAAAUCAUGGCAGUAAAGUAUUUAUUAUUUAAUGACUGCUGCAGGGGAAGUUUUAGAAUUUUCACUGGCAAGGUAAGGGAGUAUAAUUUGUGUUGUAGGUGGUGGUGAAGGUUACUCCUAAAAUCAACAUUAUAAGCUUAAAAAAAAAGAGAAAGGAAGAAUAGUGUUUGGUAUAAAAGUGACCUGAAAGAAAACUGUCUGAAAGGUUUUUGUUAACAGAGGAAAAAUGUUUCUUCCAUGGACUCAUGUGUUCAGAGAAAUUGUUCAAUUCAAGGAGAGAAA
Molecule: long non-coding RNA, 4786 nt
Organism: Homo sapiens (human)
Lineage: Eukaryota; Metazoa; Chordata; Mammalia; Primates; Hominidae
Exons: 3
Source: RefSeq, a predicted model, not a curated record